Molecule: RNA transcript, 2233 nt
Organism: Mauremys mutica (yellowpond turtle)
Lineage: Eukaryota; Metazoa; Chordata; Testudines; Geoemydidae
Gene: ANAPC10
Gene name: anaphase promoting complex subunit 10
Exons: 8
Source: RefSeq, a predicted model, not a curated record
GUUCUGGGCAGACUGUCUCCCAUAUUCCCUCUCCCGCUCCGUAGUAAGGGGCGGGCCUCGUAGCAGAGCGCGCGCGGAGCGGUGGCAGCUGGUGUCCAGAGCCCCGAGAGUCUCUCGCUCUGUUUGGAAGGUGAAUUCAUCGCUCCUGGUUUCUCAGGGGCCCUAGUGGUGCUGAGACCUGGCACCGCCACAGCCCGCGCCUCUGCCUGGCUACUGCACAGUGGGAAAUGACCACACCUAACAAGACACCACCAGGUGCUGAUCCCAAGCAGUUGGAAAGGACUGGUACUGUUCGGGAAAUAGGGUCUCAAGCUGUUUGGUCCCUUUCGUCCUGUAAGCCAGGCUUUGGAGUGGACCAGUUACGAGAUGAUAAUCUAGAAACUUACUGGCAAUCUGAUGGGUCACAGCCUCAUUUGGUGAACAUCCAGUUUAGAAGAAAAACAACGGUGAAGACAUUGUGUAUUUAUGCAGACUACAAAUCUGAUGAAAGCUACACCCCAAGCAAGAUCUCUGUCAGAGUAGGAAAUAACUUCCACAACCUUCAGGAAAUUCGGCAACUUGAAUUAGUGGAACCGAGUGGGUGGAUUCAUGUUCCUUUAACUGAUUCUCAUAAGAAGCCUAUUCGCACAUUUAUGAUUCAGAUUGCCGUUUUAGCCAAUCAUCAGAAUGGAAGAGACACUCACAUGAGACAAAUUAAAGUGUACACCCCAGUGGAAGAAAGCUCUAUUGGUAAAUUUCCUAGAUGUACAACAAUUGAUUUCAUGAUGUAUCGCUCUAUAAGAUGAAUCUUCUUAUGAAGAACAAUAAAAGUGAUUUUGUUAUCAGUUUUGUUUCAAAUAUCUUUUCCUGUUAAAAAUGUGACAGCACUUACUCUUGUGGAAUUCUCUCUCUAUAAGUUUAACUUUUUUGUGUGUAACUUUAACCUGUUUUGAGUUGUGCUGUUUUUUUUAUUUCUAAUCUGCUUUCGAUAGUCACAUUUUCUGUUAAUUGUAUUUACAAAGGCUGUAGGAGGUUUUUAGAUUUUCAAAAUGUGUAUAAAAGAACUUUCUCCUUUGCUACGAAAUGGAUAACCAUGGUUCACAUAACAUGUAUAUUCUUUUUUUCCAGGUGGUUUCUCCAUUUGUUGAUAAUGUAUUAGAAUACUUCAUGGCAUGACUGCAUAUUGUGGUUGGGUCCGUCCAAAACAGCUGUGUUUUAAUUAGGUGUAUUUUUAAUGGAUUAUUACUACUGUAUUUUUUCCUGGGUAUGGGUGUUCAUUCUUUUAAGAGGGUUCUUUAUGUCUUUGAAAUGACUCCACUGUGGUAUUGUGCAUGACUUGUUUCUGGUGAGAAAUGUAUUUAACUGGGUUUUUAUUCUAAUAGGUCUUGAUGUAGGUUUCAUUUUUCUGUAUAACUGAAAAAAUUGAAAUCUAGAAGGAAAGUGAAUAUUUCUAACUGUAUUUUAUAUUGUCCUGUCAUUACAGAUAUAAUGUAACCCUUACAUCAUUGUAAUGUAACAAUAGACAUUCCAGGAAUGCACAGGCAACAUUCCUUAGCAUUGCUUCCUGGCACCCUUUGAAGUCCCAUGGAUCACAUAAAAUACAUCAGGGCAAACAAAUGACCAUUCUAAACCCUUCUUAUAAGAUUGAGGAGCUCACUAUUACCAUGGUUCUGUUACUCAGGCCAGGUGUGAUUGUCAGGAUACUUUUCUGAGUUACAACAUGGACACAUCUAUGAAGUGAAACUUUAGAGGGAGCACCUGAAGCAGCAGAAUUUGGGCUUGAGGUCAAUUUGUACGCUAGAGACUGUGAGCAGCCAAAUAUCUGGAACGCCAAAAUCUACUUGUAAAAUGCAUGAGCUUUUCAAUACGUAGUAAAUCAGUGACUGAAGAAACUGGAACACCAUGGAGAGCUACCUAUUAAUCACCAUGAGUGGCAGCAAAUAAUCUCAACCUGAUCUAAUUUAAGGGAGAAUCAAGUUCUCACUAUAAGGGUGAGUCAACACCUCAAAAAAUUAGGAUCAGUUUUAAAGCCACAGCCAGCUAUGGUGUCAGUCCUAAAUGGACAGUGUAAAAAAGGCUCAGGCAUUUUUACUAACAUGUCAUGAAGUAAAUUGGACUAGUUACAGGGUAUGGCACCAUUUGCUGUGAGUCUGGAUGGUAGAACUGGGUUCUAAGUAAGGCACUGUUAAUGCCAGCACAAACACACCAUGUCCUGUAAGCAACAAAGAUGAAUAUGAGUCAGAACCCAAUGCUG